UCUGUUGUUAGGGAAGAACAAAUUUGUUAGUAACUGAACAAGUCUUGACGGUACCUAACCAGAAAGCCACGGCUAACUACGUGCCAGCAGCCGCGGUAAUACGUAGGUGGCAAGCGUUAUCCGGAAUUAUUGGGCGUAAAGCGCGCGUAGGCGGUUUCUUAAGUCUGAUGUGAAAGCCCACGGCUCAACCGUGGAGGGUCAUUGGAAACUGGGGAACUUGAGUGCAGAAGAGGAGAGUGGAAUUCCAUGUGUAGCGGUGAAAUGCGCAGAGAUAUGGAGGAACACCAGUGGCGAAGGCGGCUCUCUGGUCUGUAACUGACGCUGAUGUGCGAAAGCGUGGGGAUCAAACAGGAUUAGAUACCCUGGUAGUCCACGCCGUAAAACGAUGAGUGCUAAGUGUUAGGGGGUUUCCGCCCCUUAGUGCUGCAGCUAACGCAUUAAGCACUCCGCCUGGGGAGUACGACCGCAAGGUUGAAACUCAAAGGAAUUGACGGGGACCCGCACAAG
This 507-nucleotide ribosomal RNA is filed under the name Mammaliicoccus lentus. RNAcentral describes it as "bacterial SSU rRNA". It matches the Rfam family "Bacterial small subunit ribosomal RNA", at positions 432 to 929 of the family's 1533-position model. The record is from RNAcentral. Lineage: Bacteria; Bacillati; Bacillota; Bacilli; Caryophanales; Staphylococcaceae.